Long non-coding RNA from Cyprinus carpio carpio, 3256 nucleotides. The record is from Ensembl. NCBI's taxonomy places the organism in Eukaryota, Metazoa, Chordata, Actinopteri, Cypriniformes, Cyprinidae.
GAGAGAGAGAGAGAGAGAGAGAGAGAGAGAGAGAGAGAGAGAGAGAGAGAGAGAGAGAGAGAGAGAGAUGAUGAAGACUGACACUCGCUCACACGCUUCUGUUCAGAGAAAGGUGAUCCGCCGGCCGGCAGCAUGUUGCAUCCGCUCAUGAUCUUCAUGGUCGUCGCCAACAUGUCCAUGAGCAUCAUCUUCUGGACCUUCUUGAUGUCGGAGGUCUUCUUCAAAGAGGCAGAGACGGAGGAAGUGUCUCCGGCGUAGAGUCUGUCAGCAUGUAGAUCUCACACAGCUUCAUAGAGAUUCUCCUCUGCAGCUACAGAGCGCUUUCCCCCACAUUUUAAAGUUUUCUGUCAGCCUUUUUUUCUUUUGUCCUGUUUGUUCUGUAACGGGGCUGUAAAAAGACCGUUUGGGAAUUGUGGAGUGCUUGUUCAGUUACAGACUGGGUCUUUGGCCCUAAAACUGAAGCUGGUGAUUCUGAGUGCGGCCGUGAAGAGGAGAGGGUUCGGAUGGAGGAAGAGCGAGCCGGUCUGCUGCCGGGAUUCAACAUCACCGAGCCCCAUCAUCAUCCCAGGAUCCGGCCUUCAUUACAUCACAUCACUAUGAGUCUACAUACAGUACAGUCUGUGCCAGCGGUCAUUACUCUGGCUUUAAUGUUUUCACUUCAUCUUUAGCAUGUUUUUAUCAGACCAGAUGCUCUUUUAGCUGCUGUAGAGAAGCAAAGCGUAGAUAACAGUCUUUCAGCAUGAAAAGAGGGCGUGGUCAUGUGAUUGUUGUGAUGUCAUCAACGAAAUCGCUGUUCUGUGAUGCCAUUAAAAUUAAUUUUCGGAUAUUUCAUAUUUUGGCACUGUAUAUUUUAUAUAUAUACUGUAUAUAUAUAUAAAACAGAAGGCAUAAAUGCUCACUGCUGACACUGCAUUCAAACAGGGUUGUGUGUUCCAAACAUAUCGUAAGAAACCAUUGAUUCUUUUGGGAAACGCAGCACAGAACAAUUCUUAUCAGAGGACAGAAAAACAUAAUAUGUUUGAGUUAUUUCCCAAUAAACAAACUGAAGUUGUAGCCUAUAGUUUGUGCAGUUACAUUUAUUUAAAUUGAACGUUAAAGUUCAUAUUGAUCAUGUUCUAUUCUAUAACUAAUGUUUAUUAUAAAUCAUACACUGUCAGAAUAUUAUGGGUGCAACUGGCAGUCAGUCCCUUAUGAAAAUGAACCAUGGUUUUACUAUAUAGUGACCAUAGUAUUUGUAGAUUUCCACGGUUACCACUACAGUAAACAUAUUUUAACCAUGUGUAAACAAAAAAGUAAUCUAAUAAGCUGCAAUUGAGGUGUACUGAAUGUUAAAUGCCUUUUUAAAUAUAAUGUUAAAUGGGUAUCAUUACCCAUUUUACUCUUAAUAAUUUACUAAUUUUAAUUACUUAAGAGUUAAGUUUAUCGGUAUCCUAUCGAAAACAAAAUAAAUGUUAUCGCCCAUCCCUACUGUGAAACAAUGGCCCAGAACAGUGCUGCCACCUUGUGCAACAACUGAGUAGUGCAAAACAAAUUCAAUGCGCAUGUGCGGCCUGCACUGACAGUGCACACAUACUAUUCUGAUCACGAGCACUGUACGCUCACCCUCGCGUACGUGUGAAAAGUGAAGUAUACUUUGGACUUGAGUCUACAUGCAGUCUGUGUCAACUGUGACUAUUCUGUCUUUUAAUGUUUUCACUUCAUCUUUAACAUGUUUUUAUCAGACCAGAUGCUCUUUUAGCUGCUGUAGAGAAGCAAAGCGUAGAUAACAGUCAUUCAGCAUGAAAAGAGGGCGUGGUCAUGUGAUUGUUGUGAUGUCAUCAACGAAAUCGCUGUGUUCUGUGAUGCCAUUAAAAUGAAUUCUGGGAUAUUUCAUAUUUUGGCACUGUAUAUAUAAAUAAACAAGAAGGCAUAAAUGAUGCAAAUGGAAAAUAGAAUUAAAGCCUCUCCUCAUUAUGGAACCAACAGGUUGUUGUGUCUGAUUCAUCUUCAUGAGCUAUGAGAUUAUUCUAAAACCUGUCUGGGUCAAUAGGGACAGAAACAUGUGAGAUGUUCAGCUCUAAAACACCGCAGCAGAAUCUCAUGAAGCCCGUCGAAAGCUCAAAAUCAGAAGAAAGAAAUGCAUCAUGCUAAACUAAUGCUGACCUAGUUUCAUUAUUAACUAUUUUUAUUGUGUACUGGUUUAAUUGAGCUGCUGUUAAGAGAUUUACACCAUUUUAUUAGCUUUUACAAUGCUAGAACACCAUUCAUGAGGUUUUAUCUUUUAUUAAUAAAGUCGAAUACUGUGUACCUGUUUUUUCACUUAGUUCAUAAUUAACCAUAACCAUAACCAGUCUGUAAGCCGUGUCAAAGCUGGAUAAUAUGUGCUGAUAAAGCCUGUGACCUUGAGUGUCUCAGUCAAUCGCAGCGGCACCCAUGCGUACAUCAGCACCUCCAUCCUUUAUUCUUCAAUCACUGCUGGAGCUUCGGAGGAAGGCAACGAUGUGAACAUCCAACACUAUGAUUCCUCCGGACGGAUGACAUCUGACCUUCAUCACGGCCUGUGAACAAACUCUCAUCUGGACACAUGUAUUGAGCUACAAGCUUACCACGUGUUUAUAUUGUGCUUGUGUGUUAAAGGUGUUUAUUUGCAAAGAAUAACAUUUACAGGUCCUGAUAAAUGUCUAUAAUUGACAUAAUAAAAGUUCAUUAUAGAGUGAACUCAUUGAAAUACUGUGUGUCAUAUUGAAAUAUUAUGAGAAAUCAAACAAUCUGUGCUGUGAUCAGCUCAUUGAUCACUGAAGAGCAGGCUUAGGUUAUGGUCAGUUGUUCUUGUAUUGGUGUUAACUGUGAGGAUGUGUUGAAGUUAUGGAUAAGGGCAUGACAGCGGGGCGCGUGAGCCUCCUCUGCUGCCCCCCUCUGGUUAGGAGGAGGUUUUCUUCAAGAAUUACAUCCCACCUGCUGGAGAUGCCAUCCAUCUGCCCAUUCACGUCUUCAAAAUCAUCCUCACCUCCAUCAUCAUAGUGAUGACACUCUACGCCAUCAUCGGCCACCUCAUCAAAGACCUGAUACACGACUUAGCCGCUCCACCCCCUUAGCAUACGAGGGAAGGAUGCAAGAAAAGGAAAUGAAGGCGGAGGAAUCAAAGGAUGAACAUUGGAAUAUUCUUAACAACUCAAGUGUCACUUCAAAACAUCAUCAUCUGCGCUAAAGGGAUCUGCCCUUAUGUUUUUUAAGUUCAAUUUUUAAGGCAUUCAUAAUAAAUAUAAAUAAAGCAAGA